CUUAUCGAGAGUGGCUGAGGGACUAGGCCCUUGGAAGCCCGGCAACCAGCGCGGCGAUAGCAGCGAAAACGGUGCCAAAUCCUACAGAAUCUGAUUCUGAAAGAUGAGG
Molecule: non-coding RNA, 109 nt
Filed under: uncultured Eubacterium sp.
Lineage: Bacteria; Bacillati; Bacillota; Clostridia; Eubacteriales; Eubacteriaceae
Description: SAM riboswitch (S box leader)
Rfam family: SAM riboswitch aptamer (S box leader)
About the family: The SAM riboswitch is found upstream of a number of genes which code for proteins involved in methionine or cysteine biosynthesis in Gram-positive bacteria. The SAM riboswitch acts at the level of transcription termination control. The predicted structure consists of a complex stem-loop region followed by a single stem loop terminator region.
Source: RNAcentral